GAGGGUGUAGCCCAAGAGGUAGAGCGAAUGCUUAGCAUGCAUGGGGUCCUGGGUUCAGUCCCCAGUACCACCU
This 73-nucleotide transfer RNA is filed under the name Camelus bactrianus (Bactrian camel). It matches the Rfam family "tRNA". From Rfam's summary of the family: Transfer RNA (tRNA) molecules are approximately 80 nucleotides in length. Their secondary structure includes four short double-helical elements and three loops (D, anti-codon, and T loops). Further hydrogen bonds mediate the characteristic L-shaped molecular structure. tRNAs have two regions of fundamental functional importance: the anti-codon, which is responsible for specific mRNA codon recognition, and the 3' end, to which the tRNAs corresponding amino acid is attached (by aminoacyl-tRNA synthetases). tRNAs cope with the degeneracy of the genetic code in two manners: having more than one tRNA (with a specific anti-codon) for a particular amino acid; and 'wobble' base-pairing, i.e. permitting non-standard base-pairing at the 3rd anti-codon position. RNAcentral also lists the same sequence under 1 other name. The record is from Rfam by way of RNAcentral. Lineage: Eukaryota; Metazoa; Chordata; Mammalia; Artiodactyla; Camelidae.